AUUAGCUGGAUUUCUUCUAGGGAGAGGAGAGGAGGAAGGCAGGUCCAGGCAGAGGGUACAGCCUGUGGCCGGAAAAGUCUCAGCUUUUUUUCCAAGGGGCAGCCAACUUUUGGGGGAAGAUGUACAGAAGGAGAAACAGCAGCCCAACGCCAGUGGUGCCAGCAGAAUGAUAAGAACUGAGGCUUCUCAAGCUCUUACCGCCUCCCAGCCCCACAGUGAACACUUCCUGCCAUCCUGUCACUGAAUGCCCAUCCUGACCCCAAAGAUGGUGUGGCCCUGGUGACACAGAGCGGAGUCAGCAGAUACUAAGUCUUAGCUGCUGUGGCCUCAGCCACUUCUUGGUCAUAAGACUUCCUGCAGAAUCAGCUACGGACCUUGUUUCUCCAGCAAUGUGAUUUCCCAAGACCUCAGGCGGCCCCUCAUUGAUUUGGGCAGCUCUCCUAUGAGUACUGAUCAAAUAUCAAGGCUCCCUUCCUCUUGGGGGUGUUAAUUGGCCCAAAAACGGUAUGCUUUGGGGCCCUACAGAUUUCUGAAUGGACUCAUUGAUACCUUUCCAGUGGCAUCAACUCACAGAGGAGUCAGGAGGCCUUGAAGUGCUUGGAAAAGCCAUCCUUUUUAUAUUGAAGGUGCUGUCCUCGCCUGUGGCAUUUAUUCAUUGGCUGGGUACCUAAAGCUUUUACUUCCUGUAUUCAACAACCUUUUAUUGGCACCAACUGUAUGCACAUCCUCCAAGAGGUCUUCUCCGCCACAGUAUCUAAAAUUACCCUCAGCCCAGUUCUUCUCUGCC
RNAcentral lists this long non-coding RNA (787 nucleotides) under Equus asinus (donkey). RNAcentral's name for it is "lncRNA (ENSEASG00005026875.1)". The record is from RNAcentral. Lineage: Eukaryota; Metazoa; Chordata; Mammalia; Perissodactyla; Equidae.